Molecule: long non-coding RNA, 720 nt
Filed under: Mus caroli (Ryukyu mouse)
Lineage: Eukaryota; Metazoa; Chordata; Mammalia; Rodentia; Muridae
Description: predicted gene 44730 (MGP_CAROLIEiJ_G0006574.1)
Source: RNAcentral
UUAGCACAAGACAUGAGUAAAGCAAAGUCACAGCCUUAAUUUUAAGACUUGUUCUCCACUUUGGAGAAGUUUCAAAUCUAUCAGGGCGUGGAAAUAGUAAUAGUUUGGCCCAGCAUGGUCAGAGGCAAUCGUGUGCUACCUGCUUGAGAUGAGGAAGGUGUCCUUCCAAGCAGUCCUAAGGCAGGAAUUGUAACCUUCUCACCUCUUUUCUGCCACCUCAGCUCAGCACAAAGCCCGGCUUCCAAAAUUAUGGGCCGAGCAACCAAGAGCUGAAGUCAUUGGCUGUUUGGAACCAUGGUUGUGAGGCAUGCUGGCGUUAAGAAAAGUCCAUCCUCUCGGGAGGAUGGACUGCAAAGCAGGUUUUCUUGGGGGGCCAGUGGGUAAGAACAAACAGAACUCAUCUGCUUUCCCUGAGCACCGAUAAAUAGAAGACAUGGGAUGAGGGUAUCUAACAAAGACUGAAGUCUCAGGGUCACUAAAGAUAAGGCAAAGCAAAUCAAGGCCAAUGAGACCUGAACAGAAAGCAUGCCGGGAAGGAAAGUCUUCAUAAAGCUGACAACAAUUUGUUUUGAAAUCUGAAGGCAGAGAAAAUUGCAAGCAGCAGCCUGACAUUUUCUGCAAAUAGGAAAGAAGAGAUGAGCCUUGCAAGGAAGAACAGGGCAGGGUCAAGUGUCUGCCUCUUCUAGAAAGACAGACAGUGCAAGAACCUCUUAUCCAUGG